This 305-nucleotide long non-coding RNA is filed under the name Setaria viridis. Its description in RNAcentral is "long non-coding RNA (SVIR_LNC006187)". The record is from RNAcentral. Lineage: Eukaryota; Viridiplantae; Streptophyta; Magnoliopsida; Poales; Poaceae.
UGAACGGUCGGGGACAUGAAUCAACACUUAUUCUUGGCCGGGGUUAUGGUCGUUGGUCUUGCGUCUUGUGUGGGAAAAGUUGUACACCCCUACAAGGUUACGAUCUAUUGCAAUUGCCGCGCUCCCAGUUAAAGAGCACGCUCUUGUACUUUGACUUUAACGUAGAGUUAUCGAAUGGAGUUCAUGGAAGAUUGAGCUCAUGUUCAUGACCACCUUUACUUAUUGCAAUUACUUGAUGCCUGACUGGGAGAUCAUAGAAUGCCAUGUCUUUUGCUUAUUAUAACUUCAUCAAAUUUAGAUGUAUG